This is a long non-coding RNA of Telopea speciosissima, 229 nucleotides long. RefSeq lists it as uncharacterized. The record is from RefSeq and is a predicted model, not a curated record. Lineage: Eukaryota; Viridiplantae; Streptophyta; Magnoliopsida; Proteales; Proteaceae. The transcript has 3 exons.
AUUUGUAGGUAAUUAUAGUUGGAGAAGAGGGUGUGCUUUCUCAGAAGAUACACUUUCAAUUUUAUGCAAGGCAAGGUUUGCCCUGGUUUUCAACUUUAAUGGAAACACAAAAUAAAUGUAUGGAUGCAAGCAGUAGUGCUAGUUCCCCAAAGUCUGUUCAGAUGGUGUGGACAGAAUGUGUGCUACAUUUCCUCUUAAAGUAAGUACAUCCAUUGUGGAGGAUGAAGGG